This 497-nucleotide ribosomal RNA is filed under the name uncultured bacterium. Its description in RNAcentral is "partial 16S ribosomal RNA". It matches the Rfam family "Bacterial small subunit ribosomal RNA", at positions 28 to 507 of the family's 1533-position model. The record is from RNAcentral.
GAUGAACGCUGGCGGCGUGCCUAAUACAUGCAAGUCGAGCGAACAGACGAGGAGCUUGCUCCUUUGACGUUAGCGGCGGACGGGUGAGUAACACGUAGGUAACCUACCUAUAAGACUGGGAUAACUUCGGGAAACCGGAGCUAAUACCGGAUAAUAUUUCGAACCGCAUGGUUCGAUAGUGAAAGAUGGCUUUGCUAUCACUUAUAGCUGGACCUGCGCCGUAUUAGCUAGUUGGUAAGGUAACGGCUUACCAAGGCAACGAUACGUAGCCGACCUGAGAGGGUGAUCGGCCACACGGGAACUGAGACACGGUCCAGACUCCUACGGGAGGCAGCAGUAGGGAAUCUUCCGCAAUGGGCGAAAGCCUGACGGAGCAACGCCGCGUGAGUGAUGAAGGUCUUCGGAUCGUAAAACUCUGUUAUUAGGGAAGAACAAACGUGUAAGUAACUGUGCACGUCUUGACGGUACCUAAUCAGAAAGCCACGGCUAACUACGUG